GUGUAUAUGUAUACAGGGUGUAUAUAUACUGUAUAGUGAAUAGGGUGCCAUUUGGGACAUAACCUAGACCAUAACUUGUUCUCAUCAGUUGUAUCUGUGGUUUGAACCCUACAGACAUUGAUGAGUGUCUGAACAAAACCAUGUGUGGUCCCGAUGCCAACUGUACCAACUCUUAUGCAGCACACAGCUGUACCUGCCUCUUUGGUUACCUGCUCACCAGCCCAGAUGCCAUAGCCAGCCCUUUAAACCCAUGCCUAGGUCUGUGACGCGUGUAUGCUUGCAUGUAAAAGUGUGUGUGUAUAUGUGUGGUGUAUCUUUGUAUGUGUAUCCGUUACUGUAUGUGUGUAUAUCCCAGUGUUUGUUUCUCCCUGUAGACAUAGAUGAGUGUGCUAACACCCCUGGUCUAUGUGGUCUCCACUCUGUGUGUACCAAUGCACCAGGGACCUUCCACUGUUCCUGCGUGGAAGGAUACUUCUCCUCCACUGGAGUACUGUGGGAAACUGACGUCACUGUGUGUGAAAGUGUUGAUGAUGUUCUAGCCGCCAUAGUUCCCCCAGAGGGCCAGUCUAAGGAGAUGUACUUCCUCAACCAGAUGAACCAACAGCUGAUGGAGAACCCUGACAUAGUCCUACCAGAGGGGGUCAGUAUAGCAACCUUUACAUCUGGUAGACAUCUGGUGGCGCACAAUUGGCCCAGUGUCGUCUGGGUUAGAGGAGGGUUUGGCCGUCAUUGUAAAUACGAAUUUGUUCUUAACUAACUUUCCUAUUUAAAUAAAGGUUAAAAAAAAUACAAAUUAACAACCCAUAGCUCUUACUAUCUAUUCUAAACACUUCUGUAGAUCUUGAGCCAUAUGUAUCAAAUCUGUCAGAGUAGGAGUGCUGAUCCAGGAUCAGGUUCCCCCUGUCCAUGUAAUUUUGUUCAUGUGAUCUUAAAGUUUCAACUGAUCCUCAAUCAACACUCUUACUCUGAGACGCUUGAGACAAACUGCCACUGACAUGCUCGUUCGUUGAUUUCUGGCGCCACUUAGUGGAUCAUUUGGAAAUGGGUCAGGUUUCAGUACAUAGUUCUAUUCCCGACCCAGAGGGUCCUGUUUAAUGUCUCCACAUGCUAACCAAUGUCAUUGUAUCUCUCCUCCGUUCCUCUCUCCCUUCUUUCUCUCCCAUUUUCCUUUUUCCUCAGUCAGUGACAAACAGCCUCUCGACAGCCCUGGUAAUGCCCCCUUCCAACUCUGUCUCAUGUUUUAAAUAAUAAUUAUCGGAGUAGGGUUAGUUUGUCUUAGUCAAGACAGUAUGUUCAUUAUUAAGUACCUUUACAUGCACACUAAGAAUUCAAUAUGAAACUGAUUAUGGCCGAGUUCUGCUUAUCUUCAUCGGCGUUCCAGCGGUGUAUUUGAUCUGUGCAUGUGCCAGCACCGGGUACCGCACGUUUCCAUCUAAUGCGCCAGUGAAGUGAGUUCGCAAAAACUGUGUGCGUCUUAUAAAUAUUUUUCGCAUACAAACUUUUAUGUCCGAACUCUGAAUCAAAUAGUCUUAUCAAAAAUAACAUGGUCACUGUGUUAGAAUUAUUUCUUGGAUUGGCGAUUUCUGGCGUUUAUCAAAAGUAGCCUGAUCUCAGAUGUGUCAGUGUAAACAGGAUUAUAAGGGAAAUCGUUCUUCUUGCAAAGCAUGCAAACGUUUUAAACAAACUAUUAUAAUAACCUGACUAUCCACAAUAAUCUCCUUAUUGUGUGCAUGUAACCGUUCUCAUUCAUGAAUGAAUUCCUCCAUGAAUUCAUCGAUCUAUCCAUUUCCAUAGAAGGUGUCAGGAGUGGGAACCAUCUCAGCGCAGCAGGCCAGUACAGGCCAGGGGUGGAGUGGGGCUGGAAAGGAUGGCGGGGAGUCUGGCAGUGUGGUCCUGAAGAUCUCAGUGCUCCUGGUGAAUGCCUUAGUGGACCCUUCUCAGGGCCGGGUCAACAAAACCAUACACACACCUGAGCUGGGUAAG
This is a long non-coding RNA of Oncorhynchus mykiss (rainbow trout), 1983 nucleotides long. Lineage: Eukaryota; Metazoa; Chordata; Actinopteri; Salmoniformes; Salmonidae. The record is from Ensembl.